Molecule: long non-coding RNA, 1276 nt
Organism: Drosophila innubila
Lineage: Eukaryota; Metazoa; Arthropoda; Insecta; Diptera; Drosophilidae
Exons: 2
Source: RefSeq, a predicted model, not a curated record
AGCGGAUGUUUGUAUUUCGGCAGGUUCUCCUCUCAAAUUUAUAAAAUUUUCCAAUCGUCAGUAAAUUUUGACAUUAACUUUAUUUGCAUCGGUUUUCACACCAGAAUCCCAUCGGUAUUUGUUCUCACCGAAUCUGGUCACACUCUGUUAUUUCUGUUUGCGAGUUUAUACCCAUAAAGUGUCGAUUUAGAAUUGUAUUAUCAGGUAAACAUCAAACUCUCCUUGAUUUCUUAUAACAAAUCAACCGCCUGACAUUUAAAUACUGAUCGCACUGCGCACUUGAGAAACGCAAAAGAGAAUCACAACAAAAACAAGUAACACACUCGCGCAUAACUGUACCCACACACAGAACGUGGUUACGGUUAUAUAAAGAGAAAACAAACGCGCAAUUGGAUCAUUGUUAUUCCAGCAACCCAGAAAGAAAAUAAAAUGGUAAUUUUAAAUUGACUCACCUGGGGUAUAUUAAUUUCCCUUUUCCUCACUGGACGAUGUUGAACGUUCCGAAAUUCAAGCUGGAAUGAUGAAAUUGCUUGAUGAAGCGGUCCCAACUGAUGUCGAAACCAGUCAAGAUGCAAGGGGUUUUCUUAAAAUUUCUAUUGGACAAAAACAAAAUGUCACAUUUGCGCAACCUUCAAGAUGUGGAUCACGAAACGAAAGACGAAACAAAUGGACACAAAUACACACACACACACACACACACAAUCGCAUGAACAAUGAGGAAACAGAUGGAAGAAGCAACAGAUAACAACGAAUUCGCCGAGCACAGCGCUAGCUUUUUAUUUGUUGCUCCUGCUAUUACUGUGGUGGUUCAGUCGUCUUCUAAUAUUACAGCGGGCAUAAUUAAAAAUCAGAGUGCUACGCACUUUUCCAACUCGAACUUCCCUUAAGGCUUCGCGCACACUAUAGCUGAAAACGGAGAGGAAAAAUCAAACACACUGCACUCAUCCAAGUGCGGGCACUUUGAAGCGUUCAGUUCAUCUCGGUUUUAUCAACAAAACAUGUUAUAUUUUAUCAUCUCCGCUUUCAGCUUCGCUUUUUUCUAGCUAUAGUGUGCGCUUAGCCUAAGACGCACAACAAGCUAAGUAAAAAUAUGGUUUGAAGCUCUGUUGAUCUUAUUUCUCUUUGUUAUAGAUUAUCGAGGCGUGGCGUCAUUCGGCGAAUAGGAACAUGUUCUCUCACACAGUGCGGCGCAAAAGUAAUCAUUCUAAGUCUUUUGAUGAUUGUAAAUGCAAUACAAUACAUUCGCUGUAUAAGAAAUUAAAGCAAAUAAUAUUCA